This 1434-nucleotide unclassified non-coding RNA is filed under the name Ixodes scapularis (black-legged tick). RNAcentral describes it as "uncharacterized LOC121832886, transcript variant X3". Lineage: Eukaryota; Metazoa; Arthropoda; Arachnida; Ixodida; Ixodidae. The record is from RNAcentral.
CUUGAUUUUUUAAUUUUGGCUGGUACGGUUCCGUUCUGUUCCGCCUUGGCGCCCUUGGCCGCGGGGGCAAUGUUUUUGUUUUCGUUCUACGUUCAGGUGUUGGGUGGCGACGUAUUAACCGUCGAUAACCAGCUGAAGCAGCUCAAGUUCUCGAGUGGAACGAGGUUGACCGUGCGCAGUGGCAGCCGUUGACAACAAAAACAAUGUAUGCACUCAGUUUCGCCGGAUGAGUGACGGCGUCGAUCGCGAACCGCCAGAGCCGCCAAAUACCUCUCGUACAUCUCCAAGAACACCAAGAACAGGAGGUAUUCAUAAAGAGGAGGUGCGAAGAGCUGGCCCUCACUUUUUCAAGGCAGCCGCAGAACACUACGAGCCCCGAAUCACUGCCGCGGCUGACUCACGCGGAUGCUGUGCUGCACCCUGCACUGCACAUGGUUCGAAGCACACUUCAGGGGACCAGUGCAUGCCCCUGAUGCAUCGUCGCGGUAUGUUUUGUACUGCUUUUCCUAGCGGUGCACUGAGCAGUCCAAUCUUGAAGGGAGCACGCGAGUGCGUAGCCAGUGCUCCAUGCAGCGAGGACCGCAAGCACCCGCGGAAGCUUGGAGCACACGCAGUGACGCCAGCAGCCGUGCACGCUGGCGUCGUCUGCUACUGUACCGUCCUUUCGUUCGGUGCGCAGAAAAAAAAAGGAGUGACCGCUCUGUUAAAAGUCUGAUGGUGAAGGCAUCCUUUACAGAAGCACUGUAUGGCUCUCUGCACGCUAGAAUGGGGGCUGUCGUUGAUGCUCGCAGAGGCGUCGCCCACAACUAAGCAGACGACCAAAGUCCUGAGCAGGUCCCGGGGAUCAUGGCAUCGAUGAGCUCGCUUUCGCCUUGUCCAAGGUAGCAGCGGAAAACUACGGGCAGGCCCGGAGUCACCGCACCGGCUGGCUCACGGGCGUCGUCCUGUACUCUGCACGGCACUGCGUGUGGCUUAACCGGCCAAGCAGAGGGUCACUGCAUGACCUUUAUGAGGCGUCGCUAGCCAUUGUUUCAAAUCGUCCUGAUUCAUGGGCCAAGCCUUUGAAGACUGCACUCUUAGGCCCAGUCCUUUUUGGUGGAUCGGAUCUUGCCAUCUUCCCCUCUCGUGGCUUCCUGUUGUACUUAAAUAAAUUGUCAUAUUUUUUUCUUAUGGUGGUGCAUACGUUUUGCCACACUUCACAAAAACAGUGUGGUGAAUCCAUGCCGCAGAUUACUGUGAAACGUGCAGGAAGGGUAAACUCCGAAAAGGUUUAUGGAAAGAAGAUAGACAUCCCCCAUUAAUAUUUUCUGGACACUCUAAGCGUGCUAUCUACGCAGUAUUUCUGCCUAUCAUGGCAUCGGCUUUUGACCAUUCACGCUUGCAAGGAAAGGCUAUCAGCAAGAAGGGUUACGAAGUCUGUGUUCUGUUUGCAUU